UCGACGGAAGGCCCUUCGGGGUACUCGAGUGGCGAACGGGUGAGUAACACGUGGGUGAUCUGCCCUGCACUUUGGGAUAAGCCUGGGAAACUGGGUCUAAUACCGAAUAGGACCACGCGCUUCAUGGUGUGUGGUGGAAAGCUUUUGCGGUGUGGGAUGGGCCCGCGGCCUAUCAGCUUGUUGGUGGGGUAAUGGCCUACCAAGGCGACGACGGGUAGCCGGCCUGAGAGGGUGACCGGCCACACUGGGACUGAGAUACGGCCCAGACUCCUACGGGAGGCAGCAGUGGGGAAUAUUGCACAAUGGGCGCAAGCCUGAUGCAGCGACGCCGCGUGAGGGAUGACGGCCUUCGGGUUGUAAACCUCUUUCAAUAGGGACGAAGCGCAAGUGACAGUACCUAUAGAAGAAGCACCGGCCAACUACGUGCCAGCAGCCGCGGUAAUACGUAGGGUGCGAGCGUUGUCCGGAAUUACUGGGCGUAAAGAGCUCGUAGGUGGUUUGUCGCGUUGUUCGUGAAAACUCACAGCUUAACUGUGGGCGUGCGGGCGAUACGGGCAGACUAGAGUACUGCAGGGGAGACUGGAAUUCCUGGUGUAGCGGUGGAAUGCGCAGAUAUCAGGAGGAACACCGGUGGCGAAGGCGGGUCUCUGGGCAGUAACUGACGCUGAGGAGCGAAAGCGUGGGGAGCGAACAGGAUUAGAUACCCUGGUAGUCCACGCCGUANACGGUGGGUACUAGGUGUGNNNUNCUUCCUUGGGAUCCGUGCCGUAGCUAACGCAUUAAGUACCCCGCC
Molecule: ribosomal RNA, 793 nt
Filed under: uncultured bacterium
Lineage: Bacteria
Description: bacterial SSU rRNA
Rfam family: Bacterial small subunit ribosomal RNA
Source: RNAcentral